Molecule: ribosomal RNA, 497 nt
Filed under: uncultured bacterium
Lineage: Bacteria
Description: partial 16S ribosomal RNA
Rfam family: Bacterial small subunit ribosomal RNA
Source: RNAcentral
GAUGAACGCUGGCGGCGUGCCUAAUACAUGCAAGUCGAGCGAACAGAUGAGGAGCUUGCUCCUCUGACGUUAGCGGCGGACGGGUGAGUAACACGUGGAUAACCUACCUAUAAGACUGGGAUAACUUCGGGAAACCGGAGCUAAUACCGGAUAAUAUAUUGAACCGCAUGGUUCAAUAGUGAAAGACGGUUUUGCUGUCACUUAUAGAUGGAUCCGCGCCGCAUUAGCUAGUUGGUAAGGUAACGGCUUACCAAGGCAACGAUGCGUAGCCGACCUGAGAGGGUGAUCGGCCACACUGGAACUGAGACACGGUCCAGACUCCUACGGGAGGCAGCAGUAGGGAAUCUUCCGCAAUGGGCGAAAGCCUGACGGAGCAACGCCGCGUGAGUGAUGAAGGUCUUCGGAUCGUAAAACUCUGUUAUUAGGGACGAACAAAUGUGUAAGUAACUAUGCACGUCUUGACGGUACCUAAUCAGAAAGCCACGGCUAACUACGUG